This 253-nucleotide ribosomal RNA is filed under the name uncultured bacterium. Its description in RNAcentral is "partial 16S ribosomal RNA". It matches the Rfam family "Bacterial small subunit ribosomal RNA", at positions 524 to 776 of the family's 1533-position model. The record is from RNAcentral.
UACGGAGGGUGCUAGCGUUGUUCGGAAUUACUGGGCGUAAAGCGCGUGUAGGCGGUUAGGUAAGUUGGGAGUGAAAUCCCGGGGCUCAACUCCGGAAUUGCUUUCAAAACUACCUGGCUAGAGUUCGGUAGGGGACAGUGGAAUUCCUGGUGUAGAGGUGAAAUUCGUAGAUAUCAGGAGGAACAUCGGAGGCGAAGGCGACUGUCUGGACCGAUACUGACGCUGAGACGCGAAAGCGUGGGGAGCAAACAGG